AUACGUAGGGUGCAAGCGUUAAUCGGAAUUACUGGGCGUAAAGCGUGCGCAGGCGGUUUUGUAAGACAGUGGUGAAAUCCCCGGGCUCAACCUGGGAACUGCCAUUGUGACUGCAAGGCUGGAGUGCGGCAGAGGGGGAUGGAAUUCCGCGUGUAGCAGUGAAAUGCGUAGAUAUGCGGAGGAACACCGAUGGCGAAGGCAAUCCCCUGGGCCUGUACUGACGCUCAUGCACGAAAGCGUGGGGAGCAAACAGGAUUAGAUACCCUGGUAGUCCACGCCCUAAACGAUGUCAACUGGUUGUUGGGUCUUAACUGACUCAGUAACGAAGCUAACGCGUGAAGUUGACCGCCUGGGGAGUACGGCCGCAAGGUUGAAACUCAAAUGAAUUGACGGGG
Molecule: ribosomal RNA, 395 nt
Filed under: uncultured bacterium
Lineage: Bacteria
Description: partial 16S ribosomal RNA
Rfam family: Bacterial small subunit ribosomal RNA
Source: RNAcentral